RNAcentral lists this unclassified non-coding RNA (27 nucleotides) under Dictyostelium discoideum. The record is from RNAcentral. Lineage: Eukaryota; Evosea; Eumycetozoa; Dictyosteliales; Dictyosteliaceae.
CUACAGGUUAUCUUCGGAUGGCUUGUA